This 253-nucleotide long non-coding RNA is filed under the name Brassica napus (rape). RNAcentral describes it as "long non-coding RNA (BNAP_LNC025995)". Lineage: Eukaryota; Viridiplantae; Streptophyta; Magnoliopsida; Brassicales; Brassicaceae. The record is from RNAcentral.
CAUGAAGUUGGUGGAGUUGAGUUUUGUUAUGUUAACCAUGUAGAUGUUGAGAAGAGAAUGAGUAGCAUUGAGAUAUUCAACAUUAGCAACCACAGUGAUUAGGCGAGGAAGAAAAAGAAGAAGAGAAGAGAUGGCGACCAAAGAAAAAUUAGGAUAACCGAUGUGCUCUGAUACCAUGUAAGAAUCUAUAUUAAUUGUGUAAAUAACUCACAAUGCCAUAAGCCUUAUAUAUGUAAGACCCGAUCCCGGCCCU